AUUGAACGCUGGCGGCAGGCCUAACACAUGCAAGUCGAACGAGUGGCGGACGGGUGAGUAAUGUCUGGGAAACUGCCUGAUGGAGGGGGAUAACUACUGGAAACGGUAGCUAAUACCGCAUACCCUCAGAUGUGCCCAGAUGGGACUAGCUAGUAGGUUGGGUAACGGCUGACCUAGGCGACGAUCCCUAGCUGGUCUGAGUGGAUGACCAGCCACACUGGAACUGAGACACGGUCCAGACUCCUACGGGAGGCAGCAGUGGGGAAUAUUGGACAAGGGGCGCAAGCCUGAUGCAGCCAUGCCGCGUGUAUGAAGAAGGCCUUCGGGUUGUAAAGUACUUUCAGCGGGGAGGCGUUACCAGCAGAAGAAGCACCGGCUAACUCCGUGCCAGCAGCCGCGGUAAUUC
RNAcentral lists this ribosomal RNA (406 nucleotides) under uncultured bacterium. RNAcentral's name for it is "partial 16S ribosomal RNA". It matches the Rfam family "Bacterial small subunit ribosomal RNA", at positions 30 to 526 of the family's 1533-position model. The record is from RNAcentral.